CAAUAGCGUAUACUAAUGUUGUUGCAGUUAAAAAGCUCGUAGUUGAACUUCUGGUAGGAGUGUCCCGGCCUUUUUGUUUUUACAAAUUGUAUGCUGUGUGACAUCUCUGGCCAUCCUUCUUCUUUGUCUAAAGAAGAUCUUUCACUGUAAAAAAAUUAGGGUGUUCAAAGCAAAAGUUUCUUUGGAAUAUAUUAGUAUGGGAUGAUAAGAUAGGCUCUAGAUGCUAUUUUGUUGGUUUGCACAUCUAGAGAAUGAUUAACAGGGACAGUUGGGGGUAUUCGUAUUUACAUGUCAGAGGUGAAAUUCUUGGAUUUUGGAAAGACGAACUACUGCGAAAGCAUUUACCAAGGAUGUUUUCAUUAA
This 363-nucleotide ribosomal RNA is filed under the name uncultured eukaryote. RNAcentral's name for it is "partial 18S ribosomal RNA". It matches the Rfam family "Eukaryotic small subunit ribosomal RNA", at positions 592 to 976 of the family's 1831-position model. The record is from RNAcentral.